CUCUAGUCUCGUCCUUCGAUGGUGGCAAAUUGAGAACCGGCGAUGGUGGUGCUAGCGCGAGGCGGGCGGCGCCGCGAGCUCUCAUCCCGAGGAAGUCGCGGGAGGCUCGAGAUGGAGAUGGUCGCGCCAGCGGUCUUUUGAGCAGCGUCGCCUAACGAGCUCCACGCACGAGGAGGUGUCUCCAUGGUCCACGAGCGUGCGCAGCCACGUCCCCUCGCUAACGUCGGCCUCGCCGCAAAAGAGGGUUAGCCCGCCCAGGCUACCGGUCAAGUUACGUCUAGAGGCGAGGAGGGGGAGCAGCCACGCCCAGAGGAGGUCGUUCUCGGCGCUCGCAUCCUCGUCGUCGACCUUGCCCAAACGGCAGGUCGCUGCUGCUGGCCGAGGUCGCCCAGGUCAUCACCGCCCCCGCCGGCCUGCAGCUCAUCCUACCCAAAGGCAGGAUGAAUGCAAGACGGCUUGCAUAGUUCUCAGACUGGAAUAUGUGGAAUGUGCUAUGUGCCCAACAUCUCUAUCUACUCCACUGUGAUCUAACUCAAUGUCAAAGAAUCACAUAAUACAUUUGUGUGAAGGAGGUGCAAGAACCUACUUAUCUUGCAAUAGAAAGUACUGCAAGACAUGUUUAUCCAGAGAAUAUUGUGUUGGAUGCUUGCUUCAAAUUGGCUAAUCUAACUCUUCUAAUAGAUAAUUUACUGGCCAAUCAGCAGUGUUAUGUAUUUCGACCAAUGUCAGCUAAUUUCCAGCUAUAAACAGGCAAGUAUAAUUUAAUCUUCAUUUUCAUGGACUUGAAUCUGAAUAUAUUUUGGUUUAGUACAUUAUCUAAACUAUUACUUUUGGGGUUUGCUAUGAGGCAUUGGGUUUUAAAUACUUUCUUAAGAGUUGUGUGAAAUAGCGUUUAUUCCAAGAAAUUGCAAUAUAUAUAGUGCUAAUUUCUUUUAUAUUUUUAUUUUAAAAAUUGUUCCUCGACACUUCAAACUUAGAAUUUUCACAAUUAACUCUUAAAUCGGAAAUUAGCUGCCAUGGCCUGAAUUAUCAUGGAUCGAGUGUGUUUUUUGAAAGAUUUUUCUAUUGACAAUCCUUUUAUAUGUUUACCUUCUAGGAAGUAUGUGCAUUCCUUCUUGCAGACAGAUAUGUUAUGUCAAUGAACACGAGGAGGAAUUGUUGCUUGUAUAGCUUUGUUCUACAUGGAUGAUAGUUUUCUCGGGUUGUUGAAUGUUGGAAACGUGGAUUCUCAGUCACAAAAUACAUAGCAGACCUUUGGAUCCAUGGAUGUAGCCGGCAAGGGCGCCAUCAACCUGGGCUACCUUAGAGCUUAGGCAACCAUGCUGUAUUUGAUGUGAACAGUUCAUAACUUCAUAUCAAUAGCUCGAUUAACUUGUCUGUGUCUCAUGUGUGGUUGAAUACUAAUUCUAAGUUUCUAACCCUAUUGCAGUCUGUGCUACCAUUUGAUCUAAAAAACUGAACCAUGAAAGGUUCGCUGUUAAAUCAGUAUGCGACAUGGUGACGGUUGCAAGAUACUGGAAUGUCACAAUCAUCGUGCCGUACAUGGAUAAAACUUCAUUUUGGGUUGCCCAGUUCAGCAUUUCUUUCUGCAGUCAAUGCAAUUCUUAACAUUUCAGUUAAGGACUGCCUUUGUCUUACCCUUUUCUCUUCCUUUCCCUACAGUGAGUUCCGAGAUAUAUUUGAUGUAUACUACUUCAUAGCAUCAUUGAAAGGUGAGGUCCGGAUACUACAAGAGCUGCUUCCAAGGCUGAAAAGGAGAGUUGAAUAGGGCUAUCUUUGCUCCUUGCCGCCCUUCAGUUGGUCUGAUACAUCCUAUUACCAUAAUCAUGUUUCUUUGCAUCUCUCCAUUUCUCGUGAUGUAUCUAAAUCAUAUGCGUACCCAAAUAAAUAUUGUAAGUAGUAAUUUAUGGGAAAACAUAUUUUACCAAUGAUAAAGAAGUACAUGAUCCUUCAUAUGAAUAAAACACGUGCACGGCCUGAAAAUAAUGGGCUACCCACGGAGAUUCAGAAACCGAGGUGCCAUUUCAGUUUUCAUGCACUUGGAUUUACCCCCUGAAAUAGAAGAGUUGGGCAGGUGUGUGGUUCAAAUUCUUCGUCGGAAUGGACCCUUUUGUGGUUCUCCACUUGCGGUAUGAGAUGGACAUACUUGCCUUCUCUGGGUGUACACAUGGUAGCAGGAAAGAUAAGGCUGGGGAGGUUAGAAGGAUGAGAUAUUGCAGUUCUGGCAAGUGGAUCUGCACAAACGAGUAUGUGUUUGACUGUGCAGGUGAUAAGGGAGCUGAAGCUGCUGGACAACGGCGAUCUUGCAGAGGUCAUCACAAUCCUUGUUCCGAAUAGGUCCGUCGGGUUUAGCAUCCCUUGCCUUGCUGCACUCUCCUGGAAGGUCUAUCUCUUAUGGAUGGAUGGUCACAUGGGAGUAAUCAGUUGACUAGCUAUGAAGAUUGCUGAGAUUGACAAAAACGCAAAAAUGAUCCAGUCGAUGGAACUAUUAUAAAACUCCUGAAGGAGGUAACCCUUUACAAAAGGGUGCAAAUGUUACUGUCUCCUGCUAUAUUUGACAGUAAAAAACCAGUCAACAAGUAGUCAACUAUUCUUGAUUGAAAGUCUGCAAGUAGUCAAGUGGUCUUACGGAAGGCCAUUCUAGAAGAUCUUUGCUUGUUGUAGCUAUAUAGUUUACCUCGAUUUUUUGCCAGUAGCUAGCACCGUAUUUUAAUCUUUGUGGCUUUGGCAAGGAUUUUUUUGUCCGCUCUUUUUCUUGUACGAAAUUAACUCCUUUGACUCUGAUGCGAUUAAGCUUUGUUAUAAUAAUAUGUUGAGAGCAGGCUA
This is a long non-coding RNA of Triticum dicoccoides, 2826 nucleotides long. RefSeq lists it as uncharacterized. NCBI's taxonomy places the organism in Eukaryota, Viridiplantae, Streptophyta, Magnoliopsida, Poales, Poaceae. The transcript is spliced from 3 exons. The record is from RefSeq and is a predicted model, not a curated record.